This is a long non-coding RNA of Canis lupus familiaris (dog), 750 nucleotides long. RefSeq lists it as uncharacterized. The record is from RefSeq and is a predicted model, not a curated record. NCBI's taxonomy places the organism in Eukaryota, Metazoa, Chordata, Mammalia, Carnivora, Canidae. The transcript is spliced from 3 exons.
GGGAACUGCUGCUGGGAACAGAUGGUGUUCAAGGAGACAAACGGCAAUUUAUUGGAGUCCUAGAAAGGGGGCAACAUGCACUGGGCAGGGGCAUCACAGGAGUGAGGUGCUAUUUUGCUGACAACUCCCUAUUGACUACUUGAAUUCUGCACACAAAUUGAUAUUGCAUUUCUUACAAAUUGAAGGUUCAAGAUUUCAGAUGUGGUGGGAAUAGCAAGAGAACUAGAAUUAGAAGUGAAGCCUGAAGCUGUGACUGAAUUUCUGCAAUCUCAUGAUAAAACUAAGAGAUGAAGAGUUGCUUCUGAUGGAUGAGCAAUGAAAAUGGUUUUUUGAGAUGAAAUCUGCUAUGAAGAUUAUUGAAAUGACAACAAAGGAUUUAGAAUAUUCCAUAAACUUAGUUGAUAAAGCAGCAGUAGGAUUUGAGAGGAUGGACUCCAAUUUUGAAUGAGGUUCUACUGUGAGUAAAAUGACAUCAAACAACACUGCAUGCUACCAAGAAAUCAUUUGUGAAAGGAAGAGCCAAUGAAUGCGGCAAAUUUCACGCCUUAUUUUAAGAAACUGUCACAGCCACCCCAACCUUCAGCAGCUACCACCCUGAUCAGUCAACAGGCAUCAAUGUGGAGGCAAGACCUUCCACCAGCAAAAAGAUUACGACUCCCUGAAAGCUCGGAUGAUGGUUAGCAUUUUUUUUCCUACCAAGAAAGCAUUUUUAAAUUAAGGUAUGUAUUUUUUUUCUAAGACAUAUUGCUA